AAUAAUAUUCAAGAUAAUAACCAACCAGAUGCUCCGCAGGGCGUAGCUUUAUACGACCGCAGAGGUUGAACCCUGAACGGUUGGGGCAAGUAUGGACACAACAUUCAAGCUGGAUUCAGCUCUAAAUUUGGAUUGUGAUUAAAUAGUUGAUACAGCAUAGGUUUCUGACACAGAAUGAAUGUGUUCUAAUGAACUUAAAAUUUUUGUUUUCUCUUAGAGCAAUUCACUAUGCUGUUGAAUAUUAAUCCUCUCAAAAAAAUGUUUGAAGAAAUUUUCUUUUUUAUUUAUGAAAUUUCAAAUGAGAAAAAU
Molecule: long non-coding RNA, 309 nt
Filed under: Mytilus galloprovincialis (Mediterranean mussel)
Lineage: Eukaryota; Metazoa; Mollusca; Bivalvia; Mytilida; Mytilidae
Source: RNAcentral